AAGGGGCAGUAAUGCGUGGGUAACCUACCCCGGGGACCGGGAUAGCCACCCUAACGGGUGGGUAAUACCAGGCGAUGUAGCGAAGACGCAUGGAUUUGCUACGAAAUGAAUUUCGCCUCGGGAGGGGCUCACGUGGUAUUAGCUAGUUGGUGAGGUAACGGCUCACCAAGGCCAAGAUGCCUAGCAGGUGUGAGAGCACGACCUGCGCCACUGGCACUGAGACGCUGGCCAGACUCCUACGGGAGGCUGCAGUCGAGGAUCUUCGGCAAUGGGCGCAAGCCUGACCGAGCGACGCCGCGUGCGCGAUGAAGGCCUUCGGGUUGUAAAGCGCUGUCGAGGAGGAGGAAAGCCCGAAAGGGUCUGACCUAUUCCUGGAGGAAGCACGGGCUAAGUUCGUGCCAGCAGCCGCGGUAAGACGAACCGUGCAAACGUUGUUCGGAAUCACUGGGCUUAAAGGGCGCGUAGGCGGCUUGCAAAGUCAGGGGUGAAAUCUUUCGGCUCAACCGGAAAAGUGCCUUUGAUACUGGCAAGCUCGAGUGAGGUAGGGGCAUGUGGAACUUCCGGUGGAGCGGUGAAAUG
RNAcentral lists this ribosomal RNA (579 nucleotides) under uncultured bacterium. RNAcentral describes it as "bacterial SSU rRNA". It matches the Rfam family "Bacterial small subunit ribosomal RNA", at positions 102 to 688 of the family's 1533-position model. The record is from RNAcentral.